GCAUUGGUGGUUCUGUGGUAGAUUUCUCACCUUCCAUGUAGGAGGCCCUGGAUCAAUUCCCAGCCAGUGUA
Molecule: transfer RNA, 71 nt
Filed under: Loxodonta africana (African savanna elephant)
Lineage: Eukaryota; Metazoa; Chordata; Mammalia; Proboscidea; Elephantidae
Rfam family: tRNA
About the family: Transfer RNA (tRNA) molecules are approximately 80 nucleotides in length. Their secondary structure includes four short double-helical elements and three loops (D, anti-codon, and T loops).
Source: Rfam by way of RNAcentral